RNAcentral lists this ribosomal RNA (253 nucleotides) under uncultured bacterium. RNAcentral's name for it is "partial 16S ribosomal RNA". It matches the Rfam family "Bacterial small subunit ribosomal RNA", at positions 524 to 776 of the family's 1533-position model. The record is from RNAcentral.
UACAGAGGUCUCAAGCGUUGUUCGGAUUCAUUGGGCGUAAAGGGCGCGUAGGCGGCGGGGUAAGUCGGGUGUGAAAUCCCAGAGCUCAACUCUGAAACUGCACUCGAUACUGCUCUGCUUGAGGACUGGAGAGGAGACUGGAAUUCACGGUGUAGCAGUGAAAUGCGUAGAUAUCGUGUGGAAGACCAGUGGCGAAGGCGGGUCUCUGGACAGUUCCUGACGCUGAGGCGCGAAGGCCAGGGGAGCAAACGGG